Long non-coding RNA from Lathyrus oleraceus (garden pea), 344 nucleotides. RefSeq lists it as uncharacterized. The transcript is spliced from 2 exons. NCBI's taxonomy places the organism in Eukaryota, Viridiplantae, Streptophyta, Magnoliopsida, Fabales, Fabaceae. The record is from RefSeq and is a predicted model, not a curated record.
GCAAAGCCGAGAGACACCCAAAGUCAGUGAAGGAAAACGAAGAAAGGCGAAAAGAGAAACCGAACGGAGCUUACCGGGGACUUGGAGAGAUUUUUGCUCGAAGAGUCAUCGGAGUUUAAGUGGUCGAAAGCUUCAGAUCUCCUUCCGUCGGUUUCAAUUUGGUAAACUUGGGAUCUAGGGUAUGAUCGAUUGUUUGCAUGUGUGUUAGAUUUGUGAUGCUCAUCAAGGUUGGGUUAGAUUCUUUGUGAAAUCUGAUGCAGAAAUGCGGUUGAUUCCAGUUUCCAAAGGAAACUUCUUUUAAACAAAUAAUGUAAUUAAUAAAAUGGGUUUAUUUGGUUUUAAUA